Molecule: ribosomal RNA, 266 nt
Filed under: uncultured bacterium
Lineage: Bacteria
Description: partial 16S ribosomal RNA
Rfam family: Bacterial small subunit ribosomal RNA
Source: RNAcentral
GUCCACGCCCUAAACGAUGUCAACUAGGUGUUGGGGAAGGAGACUUCUUUAGUACCGCAGCUAACGCGUGAAGUUGACCGCCUGGGGAGUACGGUCGCAAGAUUAAAACUCAAAGGAAUUGACGGGGACCCGCACAAGCGGUGGAUUAUGUGGAUUAAUUCGAUGCAACGCGAAAAACCUUACCUACCCUUGACAUGUCAGAAAGUUUCCAGAGAUGGAUUCGUGCCCGAAAGGGAAUCUGAACACAGGUGCUGCAUGGCUGUCGU